Molecule: long non-coding RNA, 10204 nt
Filed under: Equus caballus (horse)
Lineage: Eukaryota; Metazoa; Chordata; Mammalia; Perissodactyla; Equidae
Description: lncRNA (ENSECAG00000047383.1)
Source: RNAcentral
GGGGCACAUAUGUAUGGUGACUGACAAAGUACAACUGAAAUUUCUCAAUGUUAUAAACUAUUACGACCUCAGUUAAAAAAAAAAAACAGAAAAGUGUUAGUGAGGAUGGGGAGAAAUUGGAAUCCUUUGGCACUGUUGGUGGGAAUGUAAAAUGGUGCAGCCACUGUAGAAAAUAGUAUAGACGUUCCUCAAAACUUUAAAAAUAGAAUUACUACAUGAUUCAGCACUACUACUUCCAGGUAUAUAUCUAAAAGAAUUCAAGGUGGGAUCUUGAAGAGGUGUCUGUACCUUCAUGUUCAUUGCACAAUUAUUCACAAUAACCACAAGGUAGAAGCAAUGUCUAUGGAUGGAGGAAUGAAUAAAGAAAAUGUAGUAAAUGCGUACAUUGGAAUAAUAUCCAGCCUUAAAAAAGGAAAUUCUGUUACAUGCUGCAAAGUGAUUGAACGUUAAGGACAAGCUGAGUGAAAUAAGGCAGUCACAUAAGGACAAAUGCUAUGUGAUUCCACUUUGAAGUAUUUAAAGUAGUCAAAAUCAUAGAGACAGAAAGUUUUAAGGUAGUUUCCAAGGGCUGGGGAGAGGGAGAAAGUGUUUAAUAGUAUAGAGUUUCAGUUUUACAAGAUGAAAAAGUUCUAGAGAUCUCUUCAACAGCAAUGUGAAUAUACUUAAUACCACUUAAUUGGACACUUAAAAAUGGUUAAGAUGGUAAAUUUAAUGUUAUGUAUUUUUUCCACAAUUUAAAAAAAAAACCUCCCAACAAAGAAAAGCCCUGGACCAGGUGGCUUCACUGGUGAAUUCUGCCAAACAUUUAACGAACAACUAACACCAACCAUCUCAAACUUCCCAAAAAAAAUGAAGAGAGGGUACACUUCAUAACUUACUCUGUGAGGCCAGCAUUGCCCUCAAAUCAAAGCCAUACAAUGACACUACAAGAAAAAAAACCUACAAGCCAAUAUCCCUUAUAAAUAUUAAUGCAGAAAUCCUCAACAAAAUACUAGCCAACAGAAUUCAGCAGCAUAUUAAAAGGAUUAUUCACCAUGACAGAUUCCUGUAAGGCAAUGAUGAGUCAACAUACAAAAAUCAAUCAAUGUAAUGCAUCACAUUUACAGAAUGAAGGAUGAAAACCUCAUGUUUAUCUUAAUCAAUGCAGAAAAAGCAUUUGACAAAAUUCAACCUCAAAUUAUGAUAACAGGACUCAAACUAGGACUAGAAAGAAACUACAACACAGUAAAGGCAACUUGAAAACCCUAUAGUAAACAUCAUACUCAAGGGUGAAAGACUGAAAGCUUUUCCUUUUAAGAGCAGGAGGAAGGCAAGCAUGCCCACUCUUGCCACUUCUAUUUAACGUAGUUCUGGAAGGCUUAGCUAGAGCAGUUAGACAAGGAAGGGAAAUAAAAGAUAGACAAAUUGAGAAGGACAAAGUAAAAUUACCUUUGGAGAACUCUAAAUAUUUUAUACCAAAAAGAAAAAAACAAGAAUAAAUGAACUCAGCAAAGUUGAAGAAUACAAAAUCAAGACACAAAAAUCAGUUUCAAUUACAUUUCUAUGCACUAACAAUGAACAGUCCAAAAAGCAAAUUAAGAAAAUAAUUCCACUUAAAAUAGGAUCUAAAAGAAUAAAAUAUUUAGCAAUUAACCAAGGAAGGAAAACACUUGUACAUUGAAAACUACAAGACAUUGCUGAAAUAAAUUUAAAGACAAAUAAAUGUAAAGACAUCCUGUGUUCAAGCAUGGAAAGAUUCAAUACUGUUAAGAUGCCAGUACCACCCAAAGUAGUCUAUAGAUUCAAUGCAUCCCACAUUAAAAUGCCAAUGAUGUUUUUUGUAGAAAUAAGAAAAUCCAUCCUAGAGGGCUGGCCCCAUGGCCGAGUGGUUAAGUUGCACGCUCUGCUUCGGCAGCCCAGGGUUUUGCCGGUUCAAAUCCUGGGUGCAGACAUGGCACUGCUCAUCAAGCCACGCUGAGGCAGCGUCCCACAUGCCACAACUAGAAGGACACACAAUUAAAAUACACAACUAUGUACCCGAGGGGGCUUUGGGAGAAAAAGGAAAAAAUAAAAUCUUAAAAAAAGAAAAAAUCCAUACUAAAAUUCUAUGGAAUCUUAAGGGACCCAAAUAGGUAAAGUAAUCUUGGAAAAGAAGAAUGAAACUGGAGGACUUAACACUUCCUGACUUCAAAACGUAGUGCCAUGCUACAGGGAUCAAGGAGUGUGCUACUUACUGCCUUAGAGACAAUUACAUAUACCGAUGGAAUAGGAUAGAGACCCAGAUAAACCGUCACAUAUAUGGCCAAAUUACUUUCAAGAAGGAUCCCAAGACCAUUCAAUGGAGAAAGGACAUUUGGAGAAAGGACAAGAGAUGGUUUUGGGGAAACUGGGUAUCCACAUGGAAAAGAAUGAAAUUGGAACCCUUUCUUACACCAUAUAUUAAAAUUAACUCAAAAUGGAUCAGACCUAAACAUAAGAGCUAAAACUAUAAAAUUCCUAGAAGAAAACAUAGAAGAAAAUCUUCAGGACGUUGGAUUUAGCAAUGAUUUCUUGGGUAUGAGACCAAAAGCCCAGGCAAUAAAAGAAAAUUUGAAAAAUUGAACUUUAUCAAAAUUUAAAACUUUUACACCUAAAGACACCAUCAACAGAGUAAAAAGGCAACCCACAGAAUGGGAGAAUAUAUUUGCAAAUCACAUAUCUGCUAAGGGAUUUGUAUCCAGAAUACAUAAAGAAUUCCUAAAACUCAACAGUAAAAACCAAGCAACCCAAUUCAAAAAUGGGCAAAGGACUUAUAUAUAGUUAUUUCUCCAAAGAGACAUACAAAUAGCCAAUAAAUAAAUGGAAAGAUGCUCAAUAUCACCUAGUCACUAGGGAAAUGCAAAUGAAAACCAUAGUGAGAUACCACCUCACAUCCAUUAAUAUGAGUAUUAUUUAGGAAAAAAAGCAGAUGUUGGUGAGGAUGGAGAAAUUGGAACUGUUGUUCAUUGCUGAUGGGAAUAUAAAGUGGUGCAGCCACUGUGAAAGACAGUAAGACAGUUCCUCAAAAAAUUAAACAAUUAUCAUAGGAUCUGGUACUUCCACUUCUCAAUAUAUAUACAAAAGAAUUUAAAGCAGAAACUUGAACAGAUAUAUAGCCAUAGCAGCAUAUAUUCACAAUAGCCAAAAGGUGGAAACAACCGAAUGUCCAUUGAUAGAUGAAUGGAUACACACAAUGGUACAUACAUACAAUCAAAUAUUAUUUACCCUUAAAAAGAAUUAACUUUUGACACAUGCUAAAACAUGGAUAAACUUGGAAGACAUUAUGCUAAGUGGAGUAAGCCAGGCACAAAAGGACAACUAUUGCAUGAUCCCCCUUUAUGAGGUCCCUAGAACAGUCAAAUUCGUAGAGACAGAAAGUAAAACAAUGGUUACCAGGGACUAGGGUAAGGAGGAAUUGGAAAGUUAUUGUUUAAUGCGUACAGAGUUCAGUUUCGGAUGAUGGAACAGUUCUGGAUAUGGAUAAUGGUCAGGUUUGCACAACAAGAUGAAUGUUCUUAAUGCCACUGAAUGUAUACUUAAAAUGGUAGAUUUUAUGGUAUGUGUAUUUUACCACAUUAAAAAAAAAGAUAUGCAGACUCCAAGAGGUGUUCUACUGGGAGAACAUUAGCCAGAGAAAUAGUUUUCAGGGUAUAUUUUAAGUUAUGUGUAAGUUGUUGAGUGAAUUAAUAAGAUUCUUUAAUUUUUUUUCCCUUACAUCUUGGGAGAGAUCAGAGUGAGAGAUUGGAACAAGGGAGAGAAGGAAAACAAAACAAAAGAUAAUUUCAGGUUUCUAGGAGCAGACAGAGAAAAUUAAACAAAGGAAGGCACCAUUAACAAGGAGAGUCUCCUGAGGGUUUAGGACGCCCGUUUUAAGUAGGAGUGAGCGUGUUGGACCUUCUCCGCGUUGAGCCUGCAGUCGCCAUGGAGCUGUGUACAGGACCUGGGAAAGGAGCCGGUGCUACCCAGGCAGAAGGAGGCUCCCAGAGUGUGAAGCCAGCCAGGCAGGGCUAGGCCCAGGUAGGUGAUUGAGCUGCAGGUAAGACCUUCGGUCCUUCCACCAGAGCUGUUGGGCCAAGUCCUGGUGGCCACUGUGCUCCUCUGUGAGCCUUGCAGUGCUCAGACCUGACUGCCAAUUCCUUCCACUAGAGGGAGUUUUUGAAAACGGCCCCCAGAGGUAGUGCUUCUAAUCAUUUGCCUUUGCCUUCAUUCCUGUACCUCUCUGUUCCCUUUUCCAGAUUUCCAGUGUUCUUUCUAGAAGCCUUGUUGCCCACAUGCUGCACUUUCAGAGUGACAGCUAUGUCAACAUGCCCUUCAGUGUCUUUCCUGGGUAUAAACCUCACCUCAGUGUCUCUCCUGGAUAUAAAGCUUAUAAUGCCAAUGUUACAGGUUUUCUGCUUCCUCUAGACUCAGUGUUAUUCAGCGUGUUUUCUCUGAAAGAGUGUUUUAUAGUGCUCUUCAUAUCUGUUAGCUUAGAUCUGUGUGUACUCAUAAUUUAAAACACACCGUGUGUUUACGUCUUUUUCCUGAACCGUUGAGAGAGUUGCAGGCACGAUGGCCCCCAUCCCUAAAUACUUCAGUGUGUAUUUUCUAAAACUAAAUACAUUUUCUUCCAUAACCAGACGGAACUUAUUGGAAUCAGGAAAUUAACGUUGAUGAAGUACUAUUGUCUAAUCUACAGAAGUUAUUCAGAUUUUACAAAUUAUCCAACAAUGUCCAUUAGAGCAAAAGAAGCAGUAGAUGAUGUGUUGCAGUCAGCUGUCAUGAUGCUUGGUCUCCUUCGGUCUGUAACUUUCCUCAGUUUUUCUUUGCUUUUCAUGAUAUUGACAUUUUUGAAAGGUACAAGCCAGGUAUUUUGUAGCUGCUCCUUGAUUUGAAUUUGUCUAAUUUUCCCUUACUAUAAGUUAUACAUUUCUUGGGCAGGGGAAGUGGAGGACCACAGAAGUGCUGUGUUAUAGUAUCUUAUAUUUAUAUUCUCAUGUUUAUAUUGUUAUAUUUAUUUUCUUAUAUUUUAUAGCUACAUAAAGUAUAUAGGUACAUAUUAUAGACAUAUACAUAGGUGUGUUUUUAUAUCUUUCUGUUUUUUAAUCCUCUUAGGAUUUUGUCUUUUCUAAUUGAGGUUCUGAAAUUUCGUUGUAAAUUUCUUCAGGUUUUUUCCUCCUCCUCCUGCUGGAUACUAGGUGGCUCUUCCAAUUUCAGAAUGUCUUUAUUGUUGGAAAAGUACCAGCUAUAUUUUACAAAGAUGCCUCUCCUUCAUUCUUUUGCUUUUCUCUGAGAAUUCCUUUCAUUUGCAAGAAUGCUGAUGUAUUUGAUUUUAUUUGUACUGUCUGUUCUGUCAUUUCUAAAGUUUAGUGUGAGAGGAAGCCAUUCACAACCAGAAACUCUAUUUUUUUUUUUUUUUUUUGCAUGCCAUUAUGCUUCUCUAGUUUCCUUCCAUUUGUGGUCAUGUCAGUAAGUAAAAUGAUCCAAAGUUGACCCCGUUUCUACCAGUGUGAAAUAGCUUUGUGCACAGUGCUGGAAGCUAAAACGUACUAACCAUGGUCUUUGAAACUCUAAACAUUAUUAAUGUCCCUUUGAAAAAGAGCUUUUCCCCACAAGGGUGAAAGACAUGUUAAAUUGGUACUUCUCAACAGAUGUGUAGGGAGGUUGUUGGUAUAAAAACUAAGGUUUGGGAUCAGCGUGGAAAUAUUAGAAAUGAUGGGCCAGUAAACACUUCUAGGUUCUUCCGGUGAAUUCCAGCAGGAUAAAGUUUUUUUGCCCAGACACUACAGCAGAACAAGGGAAAGAACAGAGAAGAAGAGAUCCUGAAAUUCCAGUGCUGGAAUUCAUCCACUCAACCCGGUCAACUCCAUCUUGAAACUCUACCCUGUGGAUUCGUUUCAUGAAUGAUGACCCCAAGACCAAAGACCAGGGAAUCCUCAAAGAAGGAGAUGAAAUUCUCCAAGGACACGUGAUCAAGGACCCAGUAGAGAGGCGACGUGAAGAGCUGCCGUACCUGUGUGAGCUCGUGUCUGCACCCAGCUAAUGGGGAAUGGUGAAGCCACUAGAGGGAAAGUUUUAGGACAAAAAUGACGUUUUCUAUAGAAAGCAGCUGAAGCAUUUUAAGAGAUGGAUGAAAACAAGGGAGCUCUCGAGUAUAAUUGUGAAGGAGAUUCUUAAGCUAAAUCUAAGUGAUUAAAGAAAUUUUAUGACUAGAUUUCUGUAGUGCACCUUCAUCAGCAUGUGUGCUGUUUUAAUCUGAAAUAGGAGCUGAGAUCAUGGGGUUGGGUGACCCCUUACUUCGGACAGUCCCCUCCCACAGCUUCUCGCUUGUGAAUUUUGUCAGGCUCCACAAAUGGGGAGACGUCCAGUAAAUGACCCCACCACUUGAACAGAAAGCCCUUUGUGAUGGUCUUAAUCCACGGGGUGACCUCCUCCUGUUCCUAGGCUGCCCUGUCCAGGAGGACCCCCAUCUCCUCCCAGGUCAUGUAGCAGUAAUGUUGGACCCCCCUGGGGUCUAGGUUCACCAUGAGGUUUUUCCUCACAAACAGAAGAUAGCCAAUUUUAUGGUCCCGCCAGACAUUAUUCAAUGGACUCUUGUGGUAAAUUCGGGUCAUAAAAAUUAUAUCCUUUAUGGAAAGCUGUGACAAAAGUUGAUCUGUGUUAAUUCAAACACAAGGAAAAUACGUUGGAGAGAGAAUUCAAAUUCAUUCUUUUUUUCAUUAAAAAAAUAUAUACAGUGCAUCCACUGAGUGCCACUCACUCAUUUUUCACUGGGGAGACCAAAUUAAAGAAAGCACAGUUUUAUAGCCUUGAAAAUUCAUUUUGUUGUGCACCCAAUGGGAUAAUUAUAUGGACACAAUUGAAAUAUGAAAAGUGCUAUAAGUAACUGAUAAGCGUAUUUCUGUGGGGCACAUACACCCUGAUUUCAUAAACAAAAGUCGUAUUUUAUCUGUAAAUACCAUGUAAGGGAUUUCUGUGUUCAUAGAUUGUGAAUCGGGUUUUCAUAGGUUUCAUGAGAAGGCUCUACCUCUGAUUCUUAUCUAACUCAGCAUCACUUAUUAAGUAACAACCAAUGUUCAGAUUCUUCGCUUUCACCUAUCCUCAUGUUGUAAAAACAGAGAAUGCAUCAUAGAAAUCCACACACAAUUUUCUAAAUUUGCACCCAAAGUUUAUUUUCUUUCCUGGAGUUUUGAUUGGAGGUAAGAAUUUGAGUAACUAACACAGUUGUGUAGAAAGAUUUAGAAGACAAGAUGCAGGGUACCUGUUCCAUAGGGAUUCCCGGCCCAGCCUGCAGAUGUCUCACGGCUGCCCUACUCACUCCCAAGGCGUCUUUUUCUUCCAGAGCAAUCUUCGGGAUUGCUUAGGGAGUGACCAGAGCAGGAGCCAAUGAAAUACCCUGGAAAGCAUGGAUAAAGUGCCUACUUUAUUGGAAAUUUUUUUAACUAAACAGGAUAAUUCCCUUCCUAAUCCCCAUUUAGUGGAUAAAAUAGAUUUAAUUCUGAAUUAUCACCUUAUUAUCAAUUCAACUUUUCAAAUCUUGGUCAAAUAUUAUUCACAUUAAAGUCUCAAUUCCUUUGAACUACAAAAUCUUUUCACUGCCCCCAAAUUUGCAUUUCUGAGACAAAUGGGUCUCUUCACUUCCCUGAAAAAAUUCCAGUUUGUCAAUGCUGGUAAUGUGGUGUCCUUCCAUUGUCUGUUGGAGUGGGACUGAGAUUUCCUGAGAGAGCUUUGGGUGGGUUUGCUGACUAGUCAACCCUCCGUGUGCUCCCACAGGACAGGUCAGAAGUCAGCAGGCUUUUAGGUUUCAUCUGACAAGCUUCACCGGGAAACAUGUACGUAGUCAGAUCUCUGCUGUAUGAGGAGCUGGUCUUGCUGGUUGAACAGGAUGACACUGAAGCGUCAGUGUAACAGCCCUACAGAGUGGGUGUGUGUUGGUUAAAACACAGCCGCUGUGCAUGUGAAGUCUAUGGAAGCGGUCCCCUCUGCCCCGUCGCAUCCUCUCACUCAGCUCAGGACUUGAACAGCAGCAGCAUCUCACCUUGGCUUCGUUGCAUUAUACUCCAGGUGCUAUACGCUUUGUCUGUUCAUCUGGUACUCAUGGCCUCACUUUGAGGGCAGCACUAUUAUUUCCCCUAUUUAUAAAAAAGGAAACUGGAGGGUAAAGAACUGAGCAUCCAUACCAGGAACACAGGUCUAGGAUUUGGACCCAACCAACCAAGUGUAAACCUGGUCCUCAGGACCCACAGUUGUUGCGGUGACAGGCUGACCAGGUGGGCAGAGGGAGAACCUGGUGGGGCCAAGUGACCUCUCAGGCUCUGGCCUUGUGGUGACCCUUGACACGGACAGAGCUCACAGUCAGGGUAUAAUGGUCCUGACUUUUCUUCAAAGCUGUAUGAAGGGAGAAGCACCACACACGUAAACUGUCUGCUGCUCAGUGACAUUUUCUCACAUGCUUCCUCGGUGCACUUGGCAAGUUUGGGAAUAGCCGAUGUGACAGAUCCUGAACACAGACAAGAACCUCUUUCCGCCUUACCCUUUUCAAUUUUUCAAUCAGGUGGCAGUUCCUCUUUGUUUUGUAUCCAGUGACCUGAUCAUUCUCAUCAGUGAUGGUGCAACUCUCCUCCAGCCGCAGUGUCUGGAACUCAUCAAGGUGACCUAGGCGGACAUACCUGCAAACAGGGUUUUUUGUCAAUCAGUAAACCCCUGUAAAUCAGACUCAUAAACCAAAGGGUUUUGGAAAUCUCUGACACUGGAAAGCUGACAAGUAGAGAAUAAAAAGGAUAAAGUUCUCAUCUCUACAGAAGUGAGAAAAAAACAACCCACCUCUGUGGACUUCAUUCAUCAUUACCACAGUCUGUAUCUCCUUUUAUUUUUUCUAUUUAUGUUUAACUUUGUCUUAUUCCAAGAAGCAUUGUAGGCAAUAUAUGAGAAUUGGAGAAAUGCAAGAUUCUAAUGCUACCCUGUAGGGCCUGGGCCUUGCUUGCUCAGCAAAAGCCCCCAGGCCCAUUGCAACCAUGUGUCCUUCUGGCUUCCUGCUGGGCAGGGAGCCCAGCUGCUGGGAUUUGUAACGAUCUGGGCCUGGCCAGCCUGGAUCCCCCCUUAUCCCACGAGAAGAACAUCGAGUCUUACAGGAAGACAGAGCCCCUCCACGUGAGCUACUGUUCCUGGGAACACUGGUCGUACCAAGGACAGCCCUAUGGCAAGCAUGCAGCCUUUGUUUCUCUGCUUACUUAAGCAAACUUCUCUUAGGGGGCGGUUGCAGGUGCACACUUCUGUCCAGCCAGCUGCCACUGGACACUCCUGUAAGUAGGACCCAGUAAACCUAUAUGUCUCGUUCACAGUCUCCGGGUCAUUUCUUUGGUCUCUCGGUGCGAUAUCCUGCCACCUUAGCCCAGCUGGGCUUGCGGCCUAACAUACCCAGUAUCAGUUAAGAGGGGAAUAUUUGUCUUAGGAUAAUGAGGAAGGAAAUGAGAGAACAUGGGUUAUGGCCAGUUGCCAAAAGAAAGCAGUGAUGGAAAAUGCAAAAACAAAAUAGCCUUGACCAAAAUGAGAGUAACUGGAAAACAAAAAUAUAUGCACUCACCAUUCCUACAGAUUAGGGUUCACUGUAUGCCAAAUAUUUCUGAAAUCAAAAUAUAGAAUGCCGAGACCACUUCUGGGCCUGAGUGUCUUUUUAUAUCUUUUGGCCAUGUGUGUACAUGUGCAUCUGCACAUGUGUUUGUCUUCUCUUUGGGUUGAGACAUUCUCAAAUAUUGGCAGGUUAACAAAAAUACAUACUGAUCUUCAGAAGUCAAGGGGAGUGAUGACAUUUAUGUUUUUACCUCAUGGAGUGGCAUCAAAUUAACUAAGAUUAUGCAUGAAAUGACUGGGAUUCUGAUACUGGACUGCACACAUUUCUCACUUGAUUAUAGCUGGGAUGUGGUUGAAUGGUUUGGAAAGUUUGAUCCUUUCAGGUAUUGCUUUUAGGAUGUUAGGUGAGACUAAAGCAGUCCUAAAUCUAGACUAAUUAUUCUACUGAGGCUAGACACUUCUGAAUGUCUCCCCAUUGGCGCACGAACCAUGACACUUUCCAUUCUGGCUAGUGGCAGGAGGCAGUCUGCAGGAGUGCCGGGCACCGUUCCCUCUGAUCCUUUAGUUGGCUUUUCCCUUCAUGUGCAUGUGCCAGCCACCCUCAGCUGAACCCUUGAGGAGCGACAUGUCUCCGGAGUUCUCCUAUAUCAGAAAUGAC